GCUUAGUGGCGGACGGGUGAGUAACGCGUGAGCAAUCUGCCUUUCAGAGGGGGAUAACGAUUGGAAACGAUCGCUAAUACCGCAUAACGUAUUCGGAUGGCAUCAUCUGAAUACCAAAGGAGCAAUCCGCUGAAAGAUGAGCUCGCGUCUGAUUAGAUAGUUGGUGAGGUAACGGCCCACCAAGUCGACGAUCAGUAGCCGGACUGAGAGGUUGAACGGCCACAUUGGGACUGAGACACGGCCCAGACUCCUACGGGAGGCAGCAGUGGGGAAUAUUGCGCAAUGGGGGAAACCCUGACGCAGCAACGCCGCGUGAUUGAAGAAGGUCUUCGGAUUGUAAAAAUCUUUUAUCAAGGACGAAGAAGUGACGGUACUUGAUGAAUAAGCUCCGGCUAACUACGUGCCAGCAGCCGCGGUAAUACGUAGGGAGCAAGCGUUAUCCGGAUUUACUGGGUGUAAAGGGCGAGUAGGCGGAUUGGCAAGUUGGGAGUGAAAUGUCGGGGCUUAACCCCGGAACUGCUUCCAAAACUGUUGAUCUUGAGUGAUGGAGAGGCAGGCGGAAUUCCCAGUGUAGCGGUGAAAUGCGUAGAUAUUGGGAGGAACACCAGUGGCGAAGGCGGCCUGCUGGACAUUAACUGACGCUGAGGAGCGAAAGUGCGGGUAUCGAACAGGAUUAGAUACCCUGGUAGUCCGCACGGUAAACGAUGGAUGCCCGCUGUUGGCCUGAAUAGGUCAGCGGCCAAGCGAAAGCAUUAAGCAUCCCACCUGGGGAGUACGCCGGCAACGGUGAAACUCAAAGGAAUUGACGGGGGCCCGCACAAGCGGAGGAACAUGUGGUUUAAUUCGAUGAUACGCGAGGAACCUUACCCGGGCUUGAAUUGCAGAGGAAGGAUUUGGAGACAAUGACGCCCUUCGGGGUCUCUGUGAAGGUGCUGCAUGGUUGUCGUCAGCUCGUGCCGUGAGGUGUCGGCUUAAGUGCCAUAACGAGCGCAACCCCUCUCCUUAGUUGCCAUCAGGUGAAGCUGGGCACUCUGGGGACACUGCCACCGUAAGGUGUGAGGAAGGUGGGGAUGACGUCAAAUCAGCACGGCCCUUACGUCCGGGGCUACACACGUGUUACAAUGGCAGGUACAGAGAGAUGGUCCUUUGCAAAACGGAUCAAAUCCUUAAAGCCUGUCUCAGUUCGGACUGGGGUCUGCAACCCGACCCCACGAAGCUGGAUUCGCUAGUAAUCGCGCAUCAGCCAUGGCGCGGUGAAUACAUUCCCGGGCCUUGCACUCACCGCCCGUCA
Molecule: ribosomal RNA, 1291 nt
Filed under: uncultured bacterium
Lineage: Bacteria
Description: partial 16S ribosomal RNA
Rfam family: Bacterial small subunit ribosomal RNA
Source: RNAcentral